Molecule: ribosomal RNA, 497 nt
Filed under: uncultured bacterium
Lineage: Bacteria
Description: partial 16S ribosomal RNA
Rfam family: Bacterial small subunit ribosomal RNA
Source: RNAcentral
GACGAACGCUGGCGGCGUGCCUAAUACAUGCAAGUUGAGCGAUGAAGAUUGGUGCUUGCACCAAUUUGAAGAGCAGCGCACGGGUGAGUAACGCGUGGGGAAUCUGCCUUUGAGCGGGGGACAACAUUUGGAAACGAAUGCUAAUACCGCAUAACAACUUUAAACAUAAGUUUUAAGUUUGAAAGAUGCAAUUGCAUCACUCAAAGAUGAUCCCGCGUUGUAUUAGCUAGUUGGUGAGGUAAAGGCUCACCAAGGCGAUGAUACAUAGCCGACCUGAGAGGGUGAUCGGCCACAUUGGGACUGAGACACGGCCCAAACUCCUACGGGAGGCAGCAGUAGGGAAUCUUCGGCAAUGGACGAAAGUCUGACCGAGCAACGCCGCGUGAGUGAAGAAGGUUGUCGGAUCGUAAAACUCUGUUGGUAGAGAAGAACGUUGGUGAGAGUGGAAAGCUCAUCAAGUGACGGUAACUACCCAGAAAGGGACGGCUAACUACGUG